Long non-coding RNA from Girardinichthys multiradiatus, 2976 nucleotides. RefSeq lists it as uncharacterized. NCBI's taxonomy places the organism in Eukaryota, Metazoa, Chordata, Actinopteri, Cyprinodontiformes, Goodeidae. The record is from RefSeq and is a predicted model, not a curated record. The transcript is spliced from 2 exons.
GAGAUAUCACAGUAGAGAGAAAUCAGAUCAAACGAGAGAGCUUCACACACCAAACAAUUCACCGAGUGCAACAGUGAGAACAGGAAGUGACGUUACCCAGAGCUCCAGUUAUAUAUUCGCACCCCCAGGAUUUGUGGAACAAUCAUCAUUUUCUCUAUUUCCGUGUGAAGAAACGUCAUCCCAGAUCAUGAUGCUGCCUCCACCGUAUUCACUAGGCAUUCUGCUACAGCUCAGUGUUGUUUUUGUGCCAAACGUACCUUUUGGAAUCGUGGCUAUAAGUUCUAGUUGGGUUUCAUCAGUGGAUUAUAGAUUUUAUCUGGGCUUGAACGUUUUCUUUGGAAGAAAAUGCUUCUGUGUUGCAAUAACCUCUCCUCUGUCCAAACAUGGAGAACAUAGAGGAUUGUUCUGACAUGCAGAACAUUACCAGUCCUAUCCAGUGUCCUUGAGUGUUUCUGUUUGGCUUCCUCCCUGAUCAGUUUUUCUUUUCAUCAAGUUAGGAGAAACAUUUUGGUUUUCUUGUCCUGACUGAUACCUUUAUUCAUUUUGAGCCUUUGAAACUUGUCUGCAGACUAUGGCUCUAAGAAAACCCUACUAAGACAGCUGUACUCUGAUUCUUUAUAAGUUCUGGCAGGUCUGACCCAAAAAAGACCAGAGCGUUGAAUUCGGAUCAGAAACAAGUAUUUUUCUAAUUGAUGGCAGGUUUAUGCAACCAGGUUUUUACUUACAGAUUAUUUAUCUUUGCAGUUUUUACUGAUUUACUGUCUAAUGUGAAGCUGAGGAGACCGUAAAACCACUGGAACAGGACCACCCUGCAUAGCUGUCUGCGUCUCAACAGAAUUGCCCCUCACAAUAUGGCGAUGUCGCUGACAUCCACUCAUCGGACAUGUUCAUCUGUGUCCGGAGGUUUCCAGCAGGCCUGAAGGCAUCCACCAGAUGCAGACGGUGCCAGCUAGUGGAAGCAGGGGCCGUUCCGUUGCUGCUUUCUGUGUGUAAAGAUCUCACUUUAAGGAUACUGACGGCGGCCUGCCAACAGUGGAUGGGUAUGAGAGUCCGCUGAUGCUGCCUUAAUCCAGAAUCCAGCUUCAUUAGCUCCAUCUGCCACAAAGUUGAAACCAACCUCCUAAAUCUGUGCCAACUGGGGCACAGAACCUUUAAAAGUAUUCCUACCCUUAAAACUCUUCACAUUUUGAAAUGUUACAUUUGUCUAACAGAUUCUAGUUUGUACGUGCUUAGUUUGGAGUACGACAGAGCUAGGUACUAUUUGAUAUACACAGUAUAUGGUUCUACUAAGGACAGUUAUUUGACAUUGUAGAAACGCAAUGGAAAGAAUAUGAAGAACGUAAAUUGACAUGGAGUGAAAAAAGAUGUCAGGUGUUCCAAGUCGGUUGGGAAUCCAUUUAAAUCAACUCCAAACUAAAUGGAGACUUUUAGAUCACAAACUGGAUCAGUACCUUGCAAAAGUAUUCACUCCCAGACUUUGACUCGUUCCAAGCACAAACUUCACUGUAUUUACUGGGAUUUUACAGACCAGCACAAGUUGUGAACUGGAAGUGAAGUCAUAGUUUUCAACGUUUUUAAUGCAAAUAAAAAUCUAAAACGUGUGGCAUACCUAUUUAUAUCAUCGACUUCUGCAGCCUCUUACAGGUUUCCUUCCUGGAUUCAGCUCCAUCUUCCCAUCAGCCUUCCCCAGCUUCCCUGUUCCCGCUGAAGAAAAGCAUCCCCACAGCAUGAUGCUGCCACUGCCAGGACGUGUGAUGAUGUGUUCAGGGUGAUCGGCAGUAUCAAUGUUCUUCUGCUAACUUUUCUGCUUGUAGGUGAAAAGCUCGGUUUGGGUCUCCUCCUUUUACAUAAAGAUGAGAUUUGUGUCCACAGGACUAGUAGUUGUCCUGUGGACAAAUUCUUCCACCUCAGCUGUAGAUCACAACAGCUCCUCCAGAGUUACCAUGGGCCUGUUGGCUGCUUCUCCGAUUAAUGCUGUCCUUGUUUAGGUGGACGUCCGUGUUUGAACAGCUUUAUUUAAACUGAGAUUUGGGGGCAGAAUACACUUCCCACCACAGAUUUUUAUUUGCAAAGAAACUUUGAAAAACAUGUUUUUACUUUUAUCGUGAUCUGCUUGCUGUUGGUUUAUCACAUAAAAUCCUUCCUGUCACAGUUUGUUUUUAACCCUUUCAGUUGCAGUUUAAUCUGCCUUGUUGCUGCCUGCUGAUACAUGAGGAGUUUAAGAUGGUUUUCCUGUCCGGGAGUUCUUCAAGUUACGCCAGGUCAAAGGUCCAAAUGCCAAAGUAUCCUUUAUAUUCUAGCUUUAUCCAUCUGUAUUUUUCACAUCAUGAAUUUAUGUUUUUAUUUAGUUUUGGGAAUAUUUGUACCUUGCAGACCGUUUUAAUAAUUGAACCUCUGUGCCAUGAAGGUUUGGUUUUUUGUUGGCUCUGCAUUAUGUAAUCGACCUUCAGUACCAGCACAGUACGCAGGGGGGUAGCAUUGCCUUGUAACGCAGCCAGGCUGCCCUGCAGAGAGUGCAGCAGUGGUUUUGAUCAAAACUCUCAGAGGAAGUUCUGAAUGUCUGGAUGUGCAUGGCUGCUUGGACGUUUUCAGGACCAAACCCUAUGCUGCUGAUGACACACCUGCUGUCACAGUGAUGACCUUUGCAUGCGUGCAGAAACAGUCUCUGUGUCCUCAGCUGUACAUGGCGGCCAUCACAAAGAGACUCCCAGAGGACAGCAUUCACCUUCAGGAGGACAUCUGCUCGUCCAGUCCAGGUUCAGAUAGUCUGGCUGAAGCUGCUGUGAAUGGAUGUAUGAACAAUUCAACCUGAGACAAAUAUGUGCAAACAGUGUAUAUACUGUAUAAUACCCCCUUUUUUAAUUUUAUACCAACCAGACCUCUGAUGUUUAUAACUACUGCCUAUUUCUGUACAAACUGUUCUGUACUGUAAAUAUAUUACAGUCAGUUGGAAUAAAAAUCUUUUGCAAUAUUAAA